CCCUAGCCCCGAUAGAAGUGGAAAUCCUUUUGUGCCGGGGUUCGGCACAAAAGAUUGGAAUGGAUAGCGGGAUUAGCU
RNAcentral lists this small RNA (78 nucleotides) under Flavobacterium bizetiae. RNAcentral's name for it is "Flavo-1 RNA". It matches the Rfam family "Flavo-1 RNA". Lineage: Bacteria; Pseudomonadati; Bacteroidota; Flavobacteriia; Flavobacteriales; Flavobacteriaceae. The record is from Rfam by way of RNAcentral.